UCCUUAUAUAGAGCCGGGGGAGGAAACUGGUCUUACGAUCCCGCAGCAACCUCUUGCUUAUAAAGAAGGUGCUCAGUCCAGCAGAAAUAGUUCUGAAAGAUAAGGA
RNAcentral lists this non-coding RNA (106 nucleotides) under Pontibacillus chungwhensis. Its description in RNAcentral is "SAM-I sequence". It matches the Rfam family "SAM riboswitch aptamer (S box leader)". Rfam says of the family: The SAM riboswitch is found upstream of a number of genes which code for proteins involved in methionine or cysteine biosynthesis in Gram-positive bacteria. The SAM riboswitch acts at the level of transcription termination control. Lineage: Bacteria; Bacillati; Bacillota; Bacilli; Caryophanales; Bacillaceae. RNAcentral also lists the same sequence under 1 other name. The record is from RNAcentral.